AACGAACGCUGGCGGCAUGCCUAACACAUGCAAGUCGAACGAGACCUUCGGGUCUAGUGGCGCACGGGUGCGUAACGCGUGGGAACCUGCCCUUAGGUUAGGAAUAACUCCCCGAAAGGGGUGCUAAUACCGGAUAAUGUCUUCGGACCAAAGAUUUAUCGCCUUUGGAUGGGCCCGCGUUGGAUUAGCUAGUUGGUAGGGUAAAAGCCUACCAAGGCGACGAUCCAUAGCUGGUCUGAGAGGAUGAUCAGCCACACUGGGACUGAGACACGGCCCAGACUCCUACGGGAGGCAGCAGUGGGGAAUAUUGGACAAUGGGCGAAAGCCUGAUCCAGCAAUGCCGCGUGAGUGAUGAAGGCCUUAGGGUUGUAAAGCUCUUUUACCCGGGAUGAUAAUGACAGUACCGGGAGAAUAAGCGCCGGCUAACUCCGUG
Molecule: ribosomal RNA, 433 nt
Filed under: uncultured bacterium
Lineage: Bacteria
Description: partial 16S ribosomal RNA
Rfam family: Bacterial small subunit ribosomal RNA
Source: RNAcentral